Molecule: non-coding RNA, 201 nt
Organism: Pelobates cultripes (western spadefoot toad)
Lineage: Eukaryota; Metazoa; Chordata; Amphibia; Anura; Pelobatidae
Source: the annotation of a GenBank genome assembly
AAGGAAUGCAUUGUGUGAAAUUGUGUUUGUAUGUGUAAGGGCUGCAAGGUGUGUUUCUGUGUAUGUAUGGGAUGCAUUGAAUGUGUGUAAGGGGUGCAUUGAGUGUGUGUAAUGAAUGCAUUGUGUGUUUCUGUGUGUGUAAGGGAUGCAUUGUGUGUAACGGUUGCAUUGCUUGUGUAUGUGUGUGUGUGUGUGUGUGUG